This 343-nucleotide unclassified non-coding RNA is filed under the name soil metagenome. RNAcentral's name for it is "partial contains 5.8S ribosomal RNA, internal transcribed spacer 2, and large subunit ribosomal RNA". The stretch from base 1 to 120 matches the Rfam family "5.8S ribosomal RNA", at positions 35 to 154 of the family's 154-position model. The record is from RNAcentral.
GAUGAAGAACGUAGCGAAAUGCGAUAAGUAAUGCGAAUUGCAGAAUUCAGUGAAUCAUCGAAUCUUUGAACGCACAUUGCGCCCGCCAGCAUUCUGGCGGGCAUGCCUGUUCGAGCGUCAUUUCAACCCUCGAGCCCCCCCGGGGGCCUCGGUGUUGGGGGACGGCACACCAGCCGCCCCCGAAAUGCAGUGGCGACCCCGCCGCAGCCUCCCCUGCGUAGUAGCACACACCUCGCACCGGAGCGCGGAGGCGGUCACGCCGUAAAACGCCCAACUUUCUUAGAGUUGACCUCGGAUCAGGUAGGAAUACCCGCUGAACUUAAGCAUAUCAAUAAGCGGAGGA